CAAGCAGCCUGAAGCACAACGCCCGACGCACAAAGCCUGGCUGUCUUCCUGCCGCCACUGGAGUCCCUUCCUGCGAGUGAGCUGCUCGCCCUCUUCUUUCUCUGCUCUGGAUCUGCCACCACGAACUGAAGGGCCACUGGAGCUGGGGGGUCUACAGCCCUGAUUUACCAUUCCAGAGACAGAUGAGUGAACCUACUCAGGACCCCACUGGAGUUAAGGGAUCUCGUGCACUGCACUUUGCAGGAAGAGGGCCGCAACUUGCUCUCUUCCUGCCGUCACACAUUCUCAUGAUUUCUUCAUGCAAGGAUUUGGGGGAAUACACACGGCUCCUCCUUUCCACCAUCUGCCUGAGAACUUCACCUCAGCGGAGGGGAGUUGUACCUUUUCUGCCGGAACCUGAAAUUCUCAACUUUCCAGAGUCCAUUUAGUGGAAGACUGUUCUCUAAGUACUGGAGACCUUGAGCGUGAACGGUAUCUUCUGGAUGGGGCUGCCCUUGCCCUUGAACGGUGAUAACCAUCUGACCUUGACCUGCAACGAUUGUUACGACUCUUCCCUUCGCCUCUUCUUGGAUACGGUGGCGAUCGCGAGUGGGAACGAGAGUGGGAACGACUAAAUGAGUGAGAGCAGGAGGCAGUGUGGGAGAAGCACUGCAGGGAGACUUGGAC
Molecule: long non-coding RNA, 666 nt
Organism: Grus americana (Whooping crane)
Lineage: Eukaryota; Metazoa; Chordata; Aves; Gruiformes; Gruidae
Exons: 3
Source: RefSeq, a predicted model, not a curated record